Molecule: ribosomal RNA, 480 nt
Filed under: uncultured bacterium
Lineage: Bacteria
Description: partial 16S ribosomal RNA
Rfam family: Bacterial small subunit ribosomal RNA
Source: RNAcentral
GAUGAACGCUAGCGGCAGGCCUAACACAUGCAAGUCGAGGGGGAAGUUACUUUCGGGUGACUGAGACCGGCGUACGGGUGCGUAACGCGUAUACAAUCUGCCUUUCACUGGGGGAUAGCCCGAAGAAAUUUGGAUUAAUACCCCAUAGUAUAUAGGGACGGCAUCGUUUUUAUAUUAAAGCUUAGGUGGUGAAAGAUGAGUAUGCGUUCUAUUAGCUAGUUGGAGAGGUAACGGCCCCCCAAGGCGAUGAUAGAUAGGGGUUCUGAGAGGGAUGUCCCCCACACUGGUACUGAGAUACGGACCAGACUCCUACGGGAGGCAGCAGUGAGGAAUAUUGGACAAUGGUCGGAAGACUGAUCCAGCCAUGCCGCGUGCAGGAUGAAGGUCUUAUGGAUUGUAAACUGCUUUUGUAAGGGAAGAAUAAGGGCUACGCGUAGUUUGAUGACGGUACCUUACGAAUAAGCAUCGGCUAACUCCGUG